GGACCAGCAGAUUACAGCUGUUAUCAUCAACAGGAAGGAGCACAAGCUAAAGAUAUUGUGACUAACUCUUGAAAUUCCAGCAUUUGGGAGACUGAGUCAGGAAGCUCAUCUUGAGUUCAAGGCCACCUUGACUACUAGUGAAACUACCUUAUUGAACAGCACAGCCAAUCAUGCGGCUCCGUAAAGUCAAUACAGCAUAAUGCUACCAAGUCUAUUCCCUGCUACUCUCUAAAAUCAAAGACAUUUACAACUCUACACCUUGUUUUUCCUUUUUAAAAAAUAAAAAUAUCUUCACCUUUC
Molecule: long non-coding RNA, 300 nt
Filed under: Rattus norvegicus (Norway rat)
Lineage: Eukaryota; Metazoa; Chordata; Mammalia; Rodentia; Muridae
Description: long non-coding RNA NONRATT018187
Source: RNAcentral